CGGAUUCAAAGCGAAGGUCAAGCAAAGCUUUAUUUCGCGCCAAGCGUCAAGAAUCAGACCAAGAGUCAAACAGACCAGUGAGGGUCGCCCCUUACAGAGGACGACCCCUCCCUGCUUUCCAGACUAACUCUGAUAGAGCAAAGGCCAUGUGGUUGGGCCCGGCCACACACAGGUGGCUAACUGAAUUACAAUCCACCCCACAGUAGCCACGGAAACUAGCCCAUCACCUCGGUAGCUAGGAGGCAGUAUGCACCCCCAGAUUGAAUACCCCCACCUGGCCUACCCACCCUUGUACUUGGGCUUUGUUACCUGGAGCUGGUUUCCGGAACUUGUUUUUAAGUCCCCUGGGGAAGGGGAGCAGAAGGGUUAAACAACAACGCUCUUGUUUAACCUCAAUGGAAGCCUCAGGCUAAAAUAAAAAAAUAAAAGAGGUCCUUACGAGACCGCCCUGAAGACUUGAUGAGCAAGGCUGGCAGCUCGCACCAGAUUCCUACAGAAAAGGCCCAGAUCCUGUAUUUUCCUGUAAAACCCCUCAGCCUUUUUAAAAUCCCCAGGGGGUCGGUGUCCUAACCCGACCCAGGCAUCCAGAGGCCGGUUCUCCACAACGCUUUGUCCGGCGCGCACUCCGGCGCCUGGCUCCGAGGGGCUGCCGAGGCGGGACUGCAGCAGCGGCUCGCGGUUUCUGCCCCCCACCCACACCGGACGCCAGGGGGUGAGGGGCAGGCUGCGGGGACCCAGCGCCCAGGACCGCGAGGACGGCGGGCGGGGGCGCGCUCUCAGAGCGCCGGAAUGCGCCCCUCCCUUCCCCCGGGACUCGCUUCCUUCAUGCCCCUGGCAUUUGCCAGACACCUAGUUGCCUCUGUCCUCCUCCCUUCUCCUUUAUUUCCUUCCCCAGUUCCUUCCUUCCUUCCUCUCCCCGGCCGCGACCGCGCCCAACUGAAACAGAACCCGGCCUGGGAGCCCACUCUGACGCGGAAGGACCCCCGGCGCGCGGCGCCCCGCGGACCCGCCCACUCCCGCUUGACUUCCGCUCUUGCAUCAGGCGAUGCACACUUUCUCCCGACAGAGGGCGCCGCUGUUGGCGCGGUGGCUCUCCCUUUCCCCCCGGAAGAGGGUGGCCGACCAGGGCUUUGGUCCGGCCGCGCUCCCCCUAGUGGGGAAAUAGUUUCUUUAGUCCUGAAGGUAGGUUGUGGUCGCAGAGCGCAGCAUCCACGACGUAGUAACCACACUUUGCAGAUAAGGCUGCCAAGAACGAGGGAUUUGUCCAGGAUCCCAGGGGAGUGUCCGUCCAGUUCAAACCCUCAUUCCCGGGAACCGUGCCCGAUUCAUAACUUGUUAAAACUGUUGGCCUGGGUGGCUGUGUUUGCACCAACAGGCUUUCCGCGGUUUGGACGUCUUGGGAGAGCCGAUCCUGAGCUAGUCAACAACCAAUCAGAUUCUCUCUACACAACCUGCGCAGUACUGAGGGAUGGACGGGUUCCCUAACUGUAAUGAGAGGAGCUGGGAUCCCGAGAUCAUGCCGAGCUGACGAGGACGUCUCCUAGGUCACGGGAGUGUGCUGGCUUGGGAUUCAAAUCCAGCCCUAUCUCAUCCCAAAGUCAAUUUUUUCCAGAAAUAAUAAGUAUGUAUAUAUUAGUAAUUAGAUGGAGGAAAAAAACUCAUAAGGAACCUGAAAAUGCUACAGCUGCUUGCGGAAAACAAGGAAGACUUGAAUAAUGGGAAACGUGUUAGGAGAAGAAAGGACAUAAAAGCACCCUGAGACCGGGACAAAAGUUAACCAAGCUCCUACACUGCAUUCUUGGCUACAUUUGAGGCUCCUACUACCCAAUAUUAUAACACGUUGUUUCCUUCCUUUCUUCACCUUUAGACUGUGAAUUCCUCCAGGGCAGGAACUUGGUCUUUCUCUAUAAUCCUAACAAUAGUAUGGCAUAUCGUAGACAUUCAAAAAAGUUUGGAAUGGAUGAAUGACAUCACUCAAAUAAGGAAGUUAUUUCAUUUCUGAGCCUUAUUUUAAAACUUGAGAGCACACCCUUCCCAAAAGAUGACUCAUGAAAAGAAGAAAGAUCACAUUGUUGCUAAGAGGAAUUAAGUCCUCAAGUUUCUUCAGUAAUAACCAAAUUGUCUAGGUGGGCCCAGCACUGUUGUUUUAAGAUCUUGUUCAAUCCAUGUUAGGAAGUGUAGGCAGCCAUGGACCCAGCUAGAGGCCAGGGAUCAAACCAGGCCCUGAUUCAUGCCUCCUGAGUAUCAGUUGAGUUGCGCUUGAGAAAGAGCCUGAGCUAUGGACCCUAAGACUCGCUGAUGUGACUGCCUGCAUGUAUUAAGAGGCCAGACUGAGUUGUACAUUUAACUGUUACAAGAUUACCCAGUACUUGCACGGAUUAUAAAUUGCACCAUUGUAAACUCACGAAUUGCUAGUUAAAGAUUAGCUAAAUAGACAAAAUUACUGGCGUCGGAAGAUCCGCUACCAGCGCUUGGGAAAUGGGUUUCCUCAAAGCCUAAGGGGUUUCAUGUGAAUGCAACGUGUGUAUGAACAAUCAACCGAAAAUAGAUACUUCCUUAUAAUUGUUUCUGUUAACUGUAUAAUGCUUCACAGCUUUGAAUAAAAUUGGCACUGCUUGGACAUCAUCCACUGUGUCCCUCCUGUCCUCAUUUCUUUACAAGUCUUAUUCUCACUCCCUUCUCUUACCCUCUCGACCCUGCUCAUGUCGUCGCACCGGCUGCAACAAGUGGUGCCCGAACAGGGACCUGAGCACAUACAAGAGGAGCUCAAGUUUUUAGGUGGAAAGACCCCCUGACAGGCACUUGGAAGGGUCCUGAUCCUGUCCUCCGCAGAGGGCGCGGUUUGUCUGUGUUUUCUCUCAGGAUGAAGAUACCCCGUGCUGGCUUCCAGAAAGGUGGUGCCAAAUCCUCGCCUCUCCACCAGAGCAUGGCUCGCCUCACGCUGAAUGGCCAAGGCAGAUGAGGAAGGAGAAGACGUCUCCCCACUACAACCAGGGCCUGAUAAGGGUUCUCCUGAACCAGGCCCUGGAAAUAGCAAAUCAAACCCAACCCAAUGAAGCAUUGAUCACUACAGUAUUAACAUUAUUAGCUAUGGUUGGCCUCCCUCAUAGUGAGGCCACCGUUCAUUAGGCAUAUUUGCCUAAUCCACCCACUAUAAGGCCUGUCACUUGGGAUGAUCCCACUUCUUGGGUGCGUACUAAUGGCACUAGUUAUCUUGAGGGAAGUAGUGCUGAUGGUAUAGAAUCUGCAGAACAUUUUAUUAAUUGGACAGGCUUAGGGCUCAAGUACCCAUAUGCUUCCAGCUGCCCUUUUCUGGCUAUGACCUCAUCAAGGGACAUGUGAUAGUGCAGUCUAGGUCCCAUAUAGUUACUUAUCUUGUAAGAGAUAUAGUAAGUGGGGUUAAUGGGUCUAAUCCUGUGAUAGGGGUGGAAAAAUGGAUUGUUUAUGGAGUCGUGGGAAAUAAGACUCCUAAUAUGCCUCUGAAAGGUAUGCGCCCUCCUGGUUACCCCUAUUGCCCUCAGCGGUUGAAUUAUUCCUACCCAGGCCCUAUUUGGAUGACUUGUCUCUCAAAAAAAGGCCUAUGAUCAUUUCUCCUCAAGGCGUUCCUGAUUUCUCCAUUACGGAUUGGUCAAGGAAGACUAGAGAAGAACUGCGAGAUACCGCCUUUCCACCUAAUCUGCCAAUGCAUAAUGUAACUAUCCCAGGUGGAAUCUUCUCUACUGCCGGAGGAAUGUUCCAUUCAGAACUGUGGAAGUUAGUUACUACUAUGGGACCUCUUGGGGUGCAAGUAACUAGGAAUGGCUACAUCCCCACUCUGAACAUCAAUUUAACCUUACGGGCGUGCGUCCCAAGGCCUUUCUUGUUAGUAGUAGGUUCAGGAACCAUAAAUUCAACCUCCUUUUCAGGGAAACACUUCUACAACAUCUGAUGUAACAAUUGUGUAUUGACUAACUGUUGACUUGUAACAUUGCCUUUACCGAGUACUAGUCCUACAAUAGUGUUUGUAAUAUGCAGCCCCCAUAUAUGCUACUGCCUGUAGAAGUAGAAGGACCAUGGUAUGCUAAUUAUGGUUAUCAAUUUGCUCUUGAAAUGCAGCUACAACUUAAACGGAUCAAGCGCUUUUUAGGCUUAUUGAUAGCUGGAAUAGCUGCGUUAGUAGCCCUUAUAGCUACGGCUACAGUAGCCCUCAGUAGCUCUGUCCCAAAGUGUUCAUACUGCCGAACAUGUAAACAAUUUUGCAAAAAAUGUCUCAUAUGCCUUAGCUACACAAGAACAUAUUGAUAAGAAAAUUCUUAGCCGCUUAGAUGGGUUAGAAGAAGCAAUAGAAUAUUUAGGAAGCCAAUUGUCUAUUCUCAAAACUCAAAUGUUCUUGGUCUGUCAUGGUCUUAUCUGUGUAACUUCGUUAAAGGCAAAUAAUAUUACAUGGGACCGAGUAAAAAGACAUCUUCAGGGAAUAUGGUAUCAUACCAAUGUUAGCCUUGAUAUAGCAGACCUGUAAAAGGAUAUUUCAAGCAUCAGCCAGUCUCAUUUGGACUUAGUCCUGCUGAAGUAGUAUCACAUAUUUUAAGUAGCCUACAUGGGUUUAAUCCCAGGAAUUUAGUGAAAUAUUCAUUCUGGCUCUUUAUUGGACUUUUUAUUGUUUUGUUUACUUUCAUUUUGAUUUGGUGCAUUGUACAAAUCCGUGCAAGACAGCACAGGUUUCGUAUGAAGGCUCAAAUGUAUUUCCUAGAUCUAAAAACAAAGAAUGGGGGAGAUGUUGGCAGCCACGGACCCAGCUAGAGGCCAGGGAUCAAACCAGGCCCUGAUUCAUGCCUCCUGAGUAUCAGUUGAGUUGCGCUUGAGAAAGAGCCUGAGCUAUGGACCCUAAGACUCGCUGAUGUGACUGCCUGCAUGUAUUAAGAGGCCAGACUGGGUUGUACAUUUAACUGUUACAAGAUUACCUGGUACUUGCACGGAUUAUAAAUUGCACCAUUGUAAACUCACGAAUUGCUAGUUAAAGAUUAGCUAAGUAGACAAAAUUACUGGCGUCAGAAGAUUUGCUACCAGCGCUUGGGAAAUGGGUUUCAUCAAAGCUUAAGGGCUUUAAUGUGAAUGCUACGUGCGUAUGAACAAUCAACCGAAAAUAGAUACUUCCUUAUAAUUUUUUCUGUUAACUGUACAAUGCCUUACAACCUUGAAUAAAAUUGGCUUGGACAUCA
Long non-coding RNA from Mustela lutreola (European mink), 5198 nucleotides. RefSeq lists it as uncharacterized. The record is from RefSeq and is a predicted model, not a curated record. The transcript has 2 exons. NCBI's taxonomy places the organism in Eukaryota, Metazoa, Chordata, Mammalia, Carnivora, Mustelidae.